GUACUUUGUGGACGCCGUUCACAGACGCUGAUUCAGUUCAAACACAUUGGAAGAUCCUUGCAUCUGUGCCCUGGAGCCUGGGGGUCUGGGCGUGGAAAGGCUCGGAGAAGCAGCUGGCAAUUUUGAGGGACCAAAACACAGAGCUCCUGCAGAGCCACCCCAGGGAGAACCGGGGACUGGUCACCGGUUACUCUGGACGCCUUUCAGUCACUGGGACUUCAUUGAGUGAGGACCGCUGAUUUCUCCGCUGGCCGGGUAUGGCUCCGGUGCCACUUUCAGCUUUCGGAAAUCACAACUUGUGAUUGGAUACUUGGGAGUGAC
This is a long non-coding RNA of Entelurus aequoreus (snake pipefish), 321 nucleotides long. RefSeq lists it as uncharacterized. The transcript is spliced from 3 exons. The record is from RefSeq and is a predicted model, not a curated record. Lineage: Eukaryota; Metazoa; Chordata; Actinopteri; Syngnathiformes; Syngnathidae.